This 978-nucleotide ribosomal RNA is filed under the name Heterodera avenae (cereal cyst nematode). Its description in RNAcentral is "eukaryotic LSU rRNA". The stretch from base 580 to 733 matches the Rfam family "5.8S ribosomal RNA". The record is from RNAcentral. Lineage: Eukaryota; Metazoa; Nematoda; Chromadorea; Rhabditida; Heteroderidae.
AUCUACCUGUGCUGUCCAGUUGAAACGUUGCUUGGGCACCACCACAUGCCCCCGUCUGCUGACGGGCACACGGACCGGUCGAGAUGGUCUGUGGGCACGGGACAACACUGAGUGGACGGCUACCCUGCGAGCACUCUGUGCUUUGGGUUGUUCUCCGACGAUGGUGCUUGGUAUAUACUGACUCGUUGCUGAGCAAAGUAAAAGCCUGAGGUUUGGCUGCGAAGCAAUCGAGUUGGUGGCGGACCGCCUUGCUGGUUGGUUUGCUGUACCGUCGUUGGACGAGCACGCUCGUUGGGUAACCCAACGGCUGUGCUGGUGUCUGUGCGUCGUUGAGCGGUUGUUGUGCCUGGCACAUGUGACACACUGGCCUGGGAAAGUGGUUCUUUCCUGGCCUUACGAACCGUAACUAGCGGUGUGUCUGUGCCUGUGUGCUACGUCCGUGGCCGUGAUGAGACGACGUGGUAGGGCCCGUGCUAUGCUUCUGCACGUGGCUUAAGACUCAAUGAGUGUCCGCUAGGCACCGCCAGUGUUUUUUUUCAUUUAUUUUUUUGACCACUUCUUUGUUGAAGAAAGAAAUUCUAGUCUUAUCGGUGGAUCACUCGGCUCGUGGAUCGAUGAAGAACGCAGCCAACUGCGAUAAUUAGUGCGAACUGCAGAAACCUUGAACACAAAACUUUCGAAUGCACAUUGCGCCAUUGGAGUUACAUCCAUUGGCACGCCUGGUUCAGGGUCGUUAUCAUAAAAGGCACUGCUGUGCCUGUUAUGUUGGUGAGAUCAUGUCGGCAUGACGUGUUCUUGCGCUAUUCUUGAAAAUGCUCGGCCGUGGAGUGUGGUUGUGUUGGCGCGAAACUGUCAGGUUCUUUCGCGUUUUACGGUCCGUAACUAGGACGCAACUGCUCGCCAUGUGUGCUGGGGUGGAAUGCUUCGCUGGUAGGCAUUCCGUGUUUGAAUUUUCGACCUGAACUCAGACGUGAGUAC